AAUUUCUAUCAAAAAUAUUUUUGAAAUAUGAAAAUUAUAAUCCUAAAACCCAUCCUUAAUCCCUCCGAACAACAAGAUCAACACAAACCAAACUGAAUUGUAAUAAAACUUCACCGUAAACAACACGACCUUUUUCCGUUUUCUUAUGAGACGGAAACGAUUCUUCCCACCCAAACAACAGAAAAUCGGAGCUUAUAAUGGACUUUUCCUCUCCUCCCUGCCGCUCGCCGCUCUCACUCUCCCGCACCCGCAACCGCAACCGUAGAUGGCGUCAGAGUCGGACUGGCACCGCCGUCGUUGUGGUGGCUGCACUCGUGAUUUCCACCACAGCCUGGCUGUCUCUUGUAUUUUCUGGCACUACUGCUCGGUGUUGGCAUAGGUUUAAGAAUUGGGAAGGGAGUCCUCAUACUCUCACAUGGAAGCCACGAAGUCAGAAGCCAAAUCAAAACGGGAAAGUUGACGGAAUUUCGAGUUUCUCCACCGCCCCGUCUCUUCAAUUGGGCAGAAACAGGAGCCUGUCCGAGGCGGAGAGACGGAAGGUUGAAGCAGGAUUGACGUUGAAUCAUAUAGUUUUCGGCAUUGCAGGAUCCUCUCAGUUGUGGAAGAGAAGGAGAGAGUUUAUAAGGCUUUGGUGGAGAAAGAAUUCAAUGAGGGGUCAUGUUUGGUUAGAGGAGAAAGUGGAUGAUAAAGAAUGGGAUGAAUCAUUGCCUGUGAUUAUGAUUUCGGAGGAUACUUCUCGGUUUCGGUACACGAACCCGACCGGACAUCCUUCUGGGCUUCGGAUUGGGCGCAUUGUGUUGGAGACUUUUCGACUAGGUUUGUCUGAUGUAAGGUGGUUUGUUUUAGGCGAUGAUGAUACUAUUUUUAAUCUGGAUAAUUUGGUUAAUGUGUUAAGUAAGUACGAUUAUAAUGAAAUGGUUUAUGUUGGUGGCUCUUCGGAGAGUCACUCUGCGAAUACUUAUUUUAGUCAUAAUAUGGCUUAUGGAGGUGGGGGGAUUGCUAUAAGUUAUCCUCUUGCCGAGGCGCUUUAUAGUGUUCUUGAUGAUUGUCUUGAGAGAUAUCAUAAGUUAUAUGGAAGUGAUGAUAGGCUCCACGCUUGUAUUUCGGAGCUCGGUGUUCCAUUGUCAAGAGAGCUUGGGUUUCACCAGUGGGAUAUUAGGGGUAGUGCUCAUGGUCUGCUAUCUGCGCAUCCGGUUGCACCCUUUGUAUCGAUUCAUCAUGUUGAAGCUGUGGAUCCUUUUUACCCUGGGUUGAGUUCUCUGGAUAGUUUGAAACUAUUCACAAAGGCCAUGAAGGUUGACCCUAUGAGUUUCUUGCAGCGAUCGAUCUGUUAUGACCGUGCACGCCGCCUAUCCUUUUCCGUCUCGCUUGGUUAUACUAUUCAAGUGUUCCCGGGCAUUGUUCCUCCCCGGGUGCUUGAGCGCUCAGAAAUGACUUACUCUGCUUGGAACAAGAUUCAUAGUCGGAAUGAGUUUGAUUUGGAUACCAGGGAUCCUUCCAAAUCUGUUUGUAAGAGGCCGGUCCUCUUCUUCUUAGAAGACGUGGAAAGACAAGGCAACACUACUUUGGGUACAUAUGUGCAGGCAAGAAUGAAAGACGAUUUGAAAAGAAGUUUUUUCUGCUUUACUCGUUCUGCUCCUUUGCCUUACGUGGAGAGCAUUCAGGUGUUGGGGUAUCCUCUGAAGAAGAACUGGCAUUUGUCACCACGUCGCCUGUGUUGCAAACUGAAUCAAACAAGUGAUGAACUCCUUACAAUAUCAGUUGGACAGUGUGAGAAAGGAUCUUGUGGUUCUUUUGCUGAUUCUGUGUGAAUAUGGGUUGAAUGGGAGCACUUGGUAUACUCGCUAGUAAUGCUGUGGAUAUAUUUUCUGCUUGAAGAAGGCCCUUCUCCAACUUGUGCUUUAUAUUGUUCAGCAUCAUUGUUUUGGCUUCCUUCUUGCAACAGCAGUUUACUGACUGUAAUCUGGCAUUUUGAAAGCCAUGCUAACAAAUUGCAGAUAUGAUAGUUCCUUUUUGUACACAGUUGAGUUUAAGAUGAGAUUGCAAACCUUCACUUCGUGGACUGCAUUCUUUGCCUUCCUUUUUCUUCAGAAGGGAACUCAGCAGUAUAGAUUUGAGAUUUCUAUUCGGAGAUCCCAUAAGGACGAAUGUAGCCCGAGGUCGGUCAGGUUGAUUACCUAGGGAUAUGGAGUGUUGGAUGAAAGGUAUGGUGGUAGUUACAUCCUUGAGAAGCGUUUAUACUUGUCAGAACAGAUCAGUUGGAAUUUAACCUGAACACAUGCUACUGAGUUUAUUGAUAGACACCGGAAAAAAGAAGAGGUGGGCAGGGUCAUGUGGCGGAGGACAAGUUUGGAUUUCAAAGUGGGAAAGCGGCCAAUCGCACGGUUGGUUACUUUAACAAGGAAGCCUUAGGAUUGUUGUUUUUACUAUGUGUGGGUGAGGGCUAAACCCUAACCUCAAAACAUUGAAUUAGGAUUCUGCUCAUACCAUAAUAAUGUUCAUUCGUGGUGCAUUUUGGACUCCAAAUGCAUGGAAUAUGUGCUGUGUUUUGCAAGGUUAUGGUGAUGACAAUAGCAAGCUCCAUCUCAUGUCAAAUCUGUUUGCAGUA
Molecule: RNA transcript, 2608 nt
Organism: Populus trichocarpa (black cottonwood)
Lineage: Eukaryota; Viridiplantae; Streptophyta; Magnoliopsida; Malpighiales; Salicaceae
Exons: 4
Source: RefSeq, a predicted model, not a curated record